UUAAGAUCUCAUUAGGUUUUGGAGUCCUAUUUAAUAUAUUAUAAAUUUUAAAAAAUUAGUUGCAGUAUUUUUCUCUUUAAUGUGUGCUAAAUAUUACCUUUCUGCAGCAUAAACAAAAUUAAAAGUUGAUACCUCUUAUAUUUCUGGAAAGAGAGUGCGCUGGAAAACUGAAGUUUAGAAGCUAGCAAAACUCUUUAACAUCUUUUAGGAAACCUCUGAUGAAGAGAAUUGUUUAGAGGUCAUAAUGAUGUAUCUCUGGAAAGUUAUAAAAGUGAUAAAAAAUGGAAAAUAUACUAAAUAAUGAAAUGAAAUAUCAAUUCCCUGCAAAAUAUUCCGUGUAAACUCCAUGGCAUUGUUAAAUGAUAAUACAGUAAAACAAGCUAACUUCAAAAAUCAACAAAAGAAACAUCCGUUUGGUUUCAGCUUAAAAUCCAGUAGAAAGAAAUUAAAUCCCUUAUUGGGGCCUGCACUCUACGAUGUUCAUCAAAUUGUUGACAUCGGGAGACGAGUCGUUUAUCCCCAGAACUUUGGAUCCGCUCCGAAGAUUGAGUACAACGUCUAGUUUCAUAAAUUCUCUGUCCGCUGUGCAAAAAAAGAAAAUUAGUAUGA
Long non-coding RNA from Stegodyphus dumicola, 609 nucleotides. RefSeq lists it as uncharacterized. The record is from RefSeq and is a predicted model, not a curated record. NCBI's taxonomy places the organism in Eukaryota, Metazoa, Arthropoda, Arachnida, Araneae, Eresidae.